CCAGUUUGUCCUCCAUCUUUCAACAAUUAGCAGCUGAGUGUGCUAGUGUAUGCCUGUGAUCCCAUCACUGGGGAGGCUGAGGCAGGAGGAU
This 91-nucleotide microRNA precursor is filed under the name Cavia porcellus (domestic guinea pig). RNAcentral describes it as "miRNA (ENSCPOG00000024415.2)". The record is from RNAcentral. Lineage: Eukaryota; Metazoa; Chordata; Mammalia; Rodentia; Caviidae.